This 445-nucleotide ribosomal RNA is filed under the name uncultured bacterium. RNAcentral describes it as "partial 16S ribosomal RNA". It matches the Rfam family "Bacterial small subunit ribosomal RNA", at positions 354 to 796 of the family's 1533-position model. The record is from RNAcentral.
GUGAGGAAUAUUGCGCAAUGGAGGCAACUCUGACGCAGCCAUGCCGCGUGCAGGAAGAAGGCGCUACGCGUUGUAAACUGCUUUUAACCGGGAAGAAACCCCAGGACGUGUCCUGGGUUGACGGUACCGGAGGAAUAAGCACCGGCUAACUUCGUGCCAGCAGCCGCGGUAAUACGAAGGGUGCAAGCGUUAUCAGGAUUCAUUGGGUUUAAAGGGGGCGUAGGCGGAGCGUUAAGUCAGUGGUGAAAUCCUGCAGCUUAACUGUAGACUUGCCAUUGAUACUGGCGCUCUUGAGUGCGCAUGAAGUGGGCGGAAUGUGCCGUGUAGCGGUGAAAUGCUUAGAUAUGGCACAGAACACCAAUUGCGAAGGCAGCUCACUAAGGCGAUACUGACGCUGAGGCACGAAAGCGUGGGGAUCGAACAGGAUUAGAUACCCCUGUAGUCC